This 387-nucleotide unclassified non-coding RNA is filed under the name soil metagenome. RNAcentral's name for it is "partial contains 5.8S ribosomal RNA, internal transcribed spacer 2, and large subunit ribosomal RNA". The stretch from base 1 to 120 matches the Rfam family "5.8S ribosomal RNA", at positions 35 to 154 of the family's 154-position model. The record is from RNAcentral.
GAUGAAGAACGUAGCGAAAUGCGAUAAGUAAUGUGAAUUGCAGAAUUCAGUGAAUCAUCGAAUCUUUGAACGCACCUUGCACCCUUUGGCAUUCCGAAGGGUAUGCUCGUUUGAGUGUCAUUGUACUCUCACACUCUCCGAUCCUAUGGAUUCGGGGAGCGGUGGACUUGGGUGUUGCUGCCUUUCCUUGUGGCUCACCUCAAAUGUGACAGUGCACCUCUUGGUUGGACAUAGUACGGCGUGAUAAGUGUCUUCGCCGGCACCUCGCAAGAGGGUGGCCGAUCGGGAGCUCUGUGCUUUCAAACCGUCUUCGGACAAUUUCUGACAACUUGACCUCAAAUCGAGUAGGACUACCCGCUGAACUUAAGCAUAUCAAUAAGCGGAGGA